RNAcentral lists this ribosomal RNA (107 nucleotides) under Gadus morhua (Atlantic cod). Lineage: Eukaryota; Metazoa; Chordata; Actinopteri; Gadiformes; Gadidae. The record is from RNAcentral.
ACUCAAAACCACACGCCCGAUCUCAUCUGAUCUCAGAAGCUAAGCAUGGUCGGGCUUGGUUAGUACUUGGAUGGGAGACCGCCUGGGAAUACCAGGUACUGCAAGUG